Zonotrichia albicollis (white-throated sparrow) is the source of this 295-nucleotide long non-coding RNA. The record is from Ensembl. NCBI's taxonomy places the organism in Eukaryota, Metazoa, Chordata, Aves, Passeriformes, Passerellidae.
CAUCCCAGAGCUGGGAUCCCAGUCCCAGAUCCAGGAUCCCAGUCCCGAUCCCAGUCCCAAUCCCAGUCCUGUGAUCCCAGUCCCAAAUCCUCGAUCCCAGUAUGAAAAUAACAGUCCCAGUCCCAAAACUGUGAUCCCAGUCCCAGAUCCAGGAUCCCAGUCCCAAAUCCAUGAUCCCAAUCCCGGAUCCAUGAUCCCAGAAUAACAAUCCCAGUAUGAAAAUAACAAUCCCAGUAUGAAAAUAGCGAUCCCAGUCCCAGAUCCUUGAUUCCAGUCCCAAUCCCAGUCCUGUGAU